GAUGAACGCUGGCGGCGUGCCUAAUACAUGCAAGUCGAGCGAACAGAUGAGGAGCUUGCUCCUCUGACGUUAGCGGCGGACGGGUGAGUAACACGUGGAUAACCUACCUAUAAGACUGGGAUAACUUCGGGAAACCGGAGCUAAUACCGGAUAAUAUAUUGAACCGCAUGGUUCAAUAGUGGAAGACGGUUUUGCUGUCACUUAUAGAUGGAUCCGCGCCGCAUUAGCUAGUUGGUAAGGUAACGGCUUACCAAGGCAACGAUGCGUAGCCGACCUGAGAGGGUGAUCGGCCACACUGGAACUGAGACACGGUCCAGACUCCUACGGGAGGCAGCAGUAGGGAAUCUUCCGCAAUGGGCGAAAGCCUGACGGAGCAACGCCGCGUGAGUGAUGAAGGUCUUCGGAUCGUAAAACUCUGUUAUUAGGGAAGAACAAAUGUGUAAGUAACUAUGCACGUCUUGACGGUACCUAAUCAGAAAGCCACGGCUAACUACGU
Molecule: ribosomal RNA, 496 nt
Filed under: uncultured bacterium
Lineage: Bacteria
Description: partial 16S ribosomal RNA
Rfam family: Bacterial small subunit ribosomal RNA
Source: RNAcentral